CACGUAGGCACCAAGCGUUGUCCGGAUUUAUUGGGCGUAAAGAGCUCGUAGGCGGUUCCGUAAGUCGGGUGGUAAAACCCAGGGCUCAACCCUGGGCCUGCAUUCGAUACGGGCAGACUAGAGUUCGGUAGGGGAGACUGGAAUUCCUGGUGUAGCGGUGAAAUGCGCAGAUAUCAGGAGGAACACCGGUGGCGAAGGCGGGUCUCUGGGCCGAAACUGACGCUGAGGAGCGAAAGCGUGGGGAGCAAACAGG
RNAcentral lists this ribosomal RNA (253 nucleotides) under uncultured bacterium. Its description in RNAcentral is "partial 16S ribosomal RNA". It matches the Rfam family "Bacterial small subunit ribosomal RNA", at positions 524 to 776 of the family's 1533-position model. The record is from RNAcentral.